CCGGGAGGGGCUGCGCCCGCCGGGGGCUGCUCCCGUGACACCGGGCAGCCCUGGCAGCAGGCUGCUCCGCUGGCUGCCCGGGACGGGGGUUUGCUAGAUCCAGGAGCGGAUGCAAAUUCAUUUUGCUGGUGCUGGAAGCCAGAUAGAGCCCGUUGCUGCGUUAAGGCUGUGCUGGGCCCUGCCGAAGCCUCCUGAGGAGGUGGUGGCUGUGCCCUCUGCUCCCCUCCGGGCUCGCCGUGAGGGCCAGGGCGCUGGCAGAGUGAGGUGUGCGUCCCCGCCAAAAGGCUGGCAGGUCUGGCUGGUGCUGGAGGAGAGGUGAAAAUAAGCUGCGUGCUUGAAAUCUUCACCCGGUUUCCUCUUGAGCUGCUGUGGAUUCGGGGAGCGUUUUCACAUCCUAGAGCUGUGUCCUGGCUGAGAGUUUCAUCCCUUGGAGCUCGCUGGCCAUCCAGCCACCACGUCAGCUGUGCUAAAAGUGUCCGUGACAAGAAGAGUGAACGAAAACCUCAGUACAGAAUUGGCAUUUCAGCUCUUAGUGGGGUUAACAAAACACGUGCUUCUUGUUUGGUUUCGCUCCGGAGCAGCAAUGGAGAUUUUGGGCUGCAACGACACCCUGAAACCUCACUCCUCUGCCUGAUUCUGCUAUUUGUGGUGUUGGCCAGGACAAAAUUCGCUUCGUAUUUCCAAACCACAGGAAAAGUGCUCACUGCUCUUCCUGGUGCUGGUACAGCACCUGCCACAAAGGUGGUUUUGCCUGGGUCUCCCAGGCACUACAGGAGCAAAAAUAACACUGUAUAUGUAUAUAUUAAUUAGUCUUAUAUUGCCUUCUGCCAGGUGAAACGGACACCCCUACGGCUCGGGGAGCACCCAGCUUUGCCGGCGUGCUGGGGUGGGAUAUUUGCCCGUCUGACCUGGGUGCCUUGGGGCCCGGGGACGCCGGGGUUGUCUGGGGCAGUGGCGUGAGCCAGCCCUGGGCUGGGAGCGCCUGUCCUCGGGGGCCUGUGUGGGGCUGGGAGCCGGCAUGUGCCUGGAGAGCGGAGCUGUGGCUCGGCUCCUUCAUGUGCCGGAGCACCCGCUGGAGACUUCCAAGCCCCCACCGGUGCUGUGGGCGGUGUGUGAAUUUGGCUUUCUGCUCGGCAGUGGGUGUGAAGAGACUGUGAAUUCUCAUCAGCGCUUCAUUACCUUAAUAAUAUUACUUCAGGUCUGUUAAGUUCUCUUGCAGAAAAAUAAGACGUAAUUGCAUGUUUCGUUAGCUUCUCCUUCCCCCGAGCCCCAAAAGAGCUCAGCCCCUGGGUCUCGCUUCCAUGGCCACUCGUAAAAUCCACAUCAAGGGGCUACGGGAUCUUCUCCGAGAGCCUGGGCCAGGUGAGGAGCUGGGAAAGUCUGCUCAGCACCGAGCUUCUAGCAGGAUGGCCCCUCUCCCAUCCCCUUAGCUUUGACAGAUACUAAGAAGUUGUUCAGCGCUACCAUCUUUUUGAACAUUAUAUUGUGAAAGCUUUUCUUCUGUAAGAGAGAACUUCUUACCUAAACUCACCUGCUCAACAGAAAUAGCAGUGAUAAUAUGCCUGAAAUGAGGAGAUUCAGAACUGGCGUUUGUUUUACCCCAUGGCUGCUGUUCACCAAGGUCUUCCAGCGUUGUCCACCAUGCCUUACGCUCUCCGUUACCCUCGUUCUUACAUCAGAGGCUCUGUUCGAGUACUUUUAGCUUUGCACGCACUGGGGAGUUGUCCCGUUCAGGCCUGGAUGGUCACCGGGUGGAGUCAGUGGCUGUAUGUAGACCAGCACAAUCCAGAUGUGGCACUCUCUGGGCUAAUCAGACUUUGUUUUGCCACUGCCUGCCUGAUAUUGUGCAAAGAUCCUGGACUCCAGGUGCAUGGAUUUUGCAGAGCACGAGAACGUGCAGGAUAGGAGCGAGAGGCUGUACCAGCUUGGAGACCUGCAGGAGAGGAUGGAGAAGCUGGCUGGCUCCAAAACAGAUUUGUCAGCCAAAGUGGUCUUCAGUGAAGAGGAAAAACUGAAGAUUUCCAAAGACCUUGUCGAUCUGCAGAUCAAGACAAACAAAAUGAAGGAGCAGUAUGAGACGGAGAACUUUGAACUGAAAAAUAUGAUCCUGGCCCUGGAGAAUCGUGUGCUGGAGCUGGAGCUCUGCAGCGAGAAAGUCACUGGGGAGCGAGAUGCCUUACGGGAACGCCUGCAUGCUCUGGAGACCAGUCGGAAGGAGCUGGCGGAUGAGUACAUCAUUUUGAAAAGCAAUUACCUGGCCCUAGGCAAAGAACUGGAGCAGGAGGUCAUGAAGAAUGAAGAGCUCAGCCUAGAGCUGCUCAACCUGGCCAAUGCCAGGAGCACCCUUCCCCGCACAGAGAGCAACCGCGUCCCCGCCAUGGCCGAUGAAGCCUCUGCCGAGCUGGAAAGAGUGCGAGCAACGGUGCGCCGUCUCUCGGCUCGGAAGGUGAAGCCAGAAGAUGUAGUUGCAUCUGAACACGAGCGGCAAAAGCUGGAGAGAAACUUGCUUGGAAACCAGGAUCACAUAAAAGUGGAGCUUGAAAAACUGAAGAAAACCUAUGAUUCGCAGCAGCAGAAGCUGGAAGAGAGAGUGAUCGCAAUGGGGAAGGAGCUGCAGGAGGCGAGGGGAGCGAUUGGGGACACCCAGCACAAGCUGGCACAGCAGUCAGCGGUGCUGCUCACCUCCCAGAGCCAGCUCCAAGAGGUGGAGGCAGAGAACUCCCAGCUGCAGCUCCGACUGAAGAAGCUGAACGAGGAAUAUCGCUCCCGGCUCGCUCAGUACAUCAAGGAUGUGGCGGACUACAUGGACAGCAAAUCCAGCAACGUAACGGGGCCUAGCAAAGCCCCAGCUGAUCAUGCUCACAUGAAACGCUUUGUGGACAGCAUGCUGAAGGAGAUCAGGGCUUCCUACAAGUCUCGGGAAGAGCAGCUAGCUGGAGCGGCACGUGGCUACAAGAAGCGCAUGAAGAACUUGGUCAAGAAGCAUGAGAACCUGCUGAUUGCUUACGGGCUCCAGCGAGAACAGAUCCGGUCCUUGGGCAGCAGCACUACGGAUUGUGGCCCUGCUGAGCUCCACUUUUCCAUCACAGACCCAGAGCUGCUGACAAACACAACCCGGGAGCUAAACCGUCUGCGGGAGGAGAAAGCAAAACUGGAGAUGCAGUUACAUGAAUUGCAGAAGAAAAGACGUAAAGAAACCUCUGGCUUUCUGCUGUCCCCUGAGCAGCAGCUGGGUGAGGAGGGCUGGGCAGAGGUCAGGAAGCAGCUCCGGGAGUUCACACACACCACCCAGGAGGAUUUGGAGCAGGAGAGAAGCCAGCUGCUGACUCGGGCGGUCAUGGCAGAAGAGCAGGUGUCGGAGCUGCAGGAAUACAUAGAUAAGCAUCUUGCAAGGUACAAGCAGGAGAUCCUCCAGCUGAAGAAGCUCACCGGCAGCGAGGUGCCACACGCGCUCAGUGCCGGGGCGGCCGACACUCACUCACUGCCCAGCGCCAGAAGGACUGUCAGCCACCAACCGUAGCUCUUCCCCCACGGCUCUGAGAAGCGGCACGAUCACAGGAAAGAGCAGGAUUUAAAAGGAAGGAGCUUUCUGUUGUGUGGGCUGGCCAGGUGGAAAAGGGAAUGUUAUAUAAGGUGAGCAGGGCCAAACUGAUCCUUCAGCGGGAGAUGAGCUGGACAAACUCCCUCCUGAGCCGCCUUCAAAGGGACGGCGGAGCAAAGCCCGAGGCUGGGAGCGGCAGCUGCUCUGGCUCCAGGAGCACCCUGUGGCUCAAAGGCAAAGCAAAAGGCUCAAAGGAAAAACAGUCCAAAUGUUUAUUUUGAAAAAUUAACUAGAAAUAAAGUAACAAAUGUACAGAAAGAGGCA
Molecule: RNA transcript, 3865 nt
Organism: Grus americana (Whooping crane)
Lineage: Eukaryota; Metazoa; Chordata; Aves; Gruiformes; Gruidae
Gene: CCDC78
Gene name: coiled-coil domain containing 78
Exons: 17
Source: RefSeq, a predicted model, not a curated record